This 253-nucleotide ribosomal RNA is filed under the name uncultured bacterium. Its description in RNAcentral is "partial 16S ribosomal RNA". It matches the Rfam family "Bacterial small subunit ribosomal RNA", at positions 524 to 776 of the family's 1533-position model. The record is from RNAcentral.
UACAGAGGUCCCAAGCGUUACUGAGAAUCACUGGGUUUAAAGGGUGCGUAGGUGGUCCGUUAAGUCAGUUGUGAAAUCCCCGGGCUCAACCCGGGAAAUGCUUCUGAUACUGGCGGACUUGAGGCCAGUAGGGGUCACUAGAACUGACGGUGGAGCGGUGAAAUGCGCAGAUAUCGGGAAGAACACCCAUGGCGAAGGCAGCUCUCUGGGACGGUACUGACGCUGAGACGCGAAAGCGUGGGGAGCGAACAGG